ACCAACGACCAAACCACGUUGAGUAUAUCAGUUCUCGUUAGAUCACUGAAGUUAAAUAACGUCGGGCGUAGUUAAUACUUGGAUGGGGGACCGCUUGGGAACUCUAUACGUACCGCUGGAU
Cinara cedri is the source of this 121-nucleotide non-coding RNA. The record is from the annotation of a GenBank genome assembly. Lineage: Eukaryota; Metazoa; Arthropoda; Insecta; Hemiptera; Aphididae.